RNAcentral lists this long non-coding RNA (918 nucleotides) under Citrus sinensis (sweet orange). RNAcentral describes it as "long non-coding RNA (CSIN_LNC005066)". The record is from RNAcentral. Lineage: Eukaryota; Viridiplantae; Streptophyta; Magnoliopsida; Sapindales; Rutaceae.
UUUGACUAUGUUUGACCUAAAGUUUAAUAUAUUAUUUUAUUUAAAAAAACAAAAGGGAGCAUUUUAAUAAUUCAAAAAUGAAAAAAAGAAAAAAGAAAAACACUACUGUCUUAACCCACCAAGCCCCAAAAUCACUAACACUCACACCCAAACACUCAUCACUCUCUCACGACCAAACCCUAGAGAUCAACCUUGCACUCAAUCGAUCGAGCAAAACACCAUCCUUUCGCCUCCAUUCAAGUAUAUUGUAACUAUGCCGGCAAUGUUGUUUAAAAAUUGUAGCUCGUUGCUGUCGGCACCAUUUUGCUAGUAGUAUUAAAAUGCUGGGUUUGUUGCUGCUGUGUUGCGCGGGGUUCGAGUGGCUGCUUCUACGUCGCGUGGGAGUGGCUGCUGCUACGUCGCGCUGCUGAUGCUGUUGGGUCGCUACUACAUUGCGUGCUGCUGGGUUGUUGAUGGGUGAUGGCUGUAAUUGUUGUAAAUUUAUGAUGAUUUUGUGAUAUAAUUAUUGUUUAUCACAAAUUUGUGAUAGAAUCGUGAUAAAAAUUUUCUCUGUCAAGAAAUUAUGAUAAAAAAUUUACUUUGACUAUGUUUGACCUAAAGUUUAAUAUAUUAUUUUAUUUAAAAAAACAAAAGGGAGCAUUUUAAUAAUUCAAAAAUGAAAAAAAGAAAAAAGAAAAACACUACUGUCUUAACCCACCAAGCCCCAAAAUCACUAACACUCACACCCAAACACUCAUCACUCUCUCACGACCAAACCCUAGAGAUCAACCUUGCACUCAAUCGAUCGAGCAAAACACCAUCCUUUCGCCUCCAUUCAAGUAUAUUGUAACUAUGCCGGCAAUGUUGUUUAAAAAUUGUAGCUCGUUGCUGUCGGCACCAUUUUGCUAGUAGUAUUAAAAUGCUGGGUUUGUUGCUGCU